GAUGAACGCUGGCGGCGUGCCUAACACAUGCAAGUCGAACGGAGAUUUAACGCUGAUGAGGCUUCGGCGGAAUCUUGUUAAAUCUUAGUGGCGGACGGGUGAGUAACGCGUGGGCAACCUGCCUCGUACUGGGGGAUAACAGUUGGAAACGACUGUUAAUACCGCAUAAGCGCACGGUAUCGCAUGAUACAGUGUGAAAAACUCCGGUGGUACGAGAUGGGCCCGCGUCAGAUUAGCCAGUUGGCGGGGUAACGGCCCACCAAAGCGACGAUCUGUAGCCGGACUGAGAGGUCGGACGGCCACAUUGGGACUGAGACACGGCCCAAACUCCUACGGGAGGCAGCAGUGGGGGAUAUUGCACAAUGGGCGAAAGCCUGAUGCAGCGACGCCGCGUGAGUGAAGAAGUAUUUCGGUAUGUAAAGCUCUAUCAGCAGGGAAGAAAGGCCCGCAAGGGAGAUGACGGUACC
RNAcentral lists this ribosomal RNA (467 nucleotides) under bacterium DAZ2004. RNAcentral's name for it is "bacterial SSU rRNA". It matches the Rfam family "Bacterial small subunit ribosomal RNA", at positions 28 to 479 of the family's 1533-position model. The record is from RNAcentral.